GCACCCAGCGUGUAGGCUUUCAGACUGGGCCCAGGCUGGGACUGUGGGCCGUGCUCAGCCCGGGGGGUCCGUCCCUGACAUGGCCACGGCCUACAGGGGGCCUGAACCCUGGGUCCCUGCAGGCCAGCUGAGCCAGAGGCUAAGGGCCGAGGAGAAGACACUGGACUUGGAGUUCGAGGUCUUGAGUGUGGGGUUUAAUGAGGAGGGCAGAUACGCCCUGCAGCUGUCAGUUGAGAACCCCCUGCAGGCCAGCUCUGGGGCUGGGGUGCAGCUGCAGGUAAAUGAUGGGGACCCCUUCCCUGCCUGCUCUGCUGUCACCGAUGUCAUUGAGCAGCAGGAUCCUGGCCAGAGCCUCACCCUCACCAGGAGAAAGUUUGUCUUCACUUUGCCCAAAGGGUUCUGCAAGAACGAUGGGCAGCAUGAUGCCCAGCUGCGGGUGGAGGCACUGAGGCUGGGCGGGGCCUCAGGAAGCCCGGCCCAGCGGGUGGGCGAGGCCAUCUUCCCCAUCUACCCACGCCCAGACCACCCACGCAUGAACGUCUCCGCGCUGGAGCAUGAGGAUCUGUACCGCUACUGUGGCAGGCUGGCUCUGCUCCGGGCCAGCGCCGACCCCACGGCCCGCCACUGCGGGGGCCUGGCCUACAGCGUGGCCUUCCACGUGCACUGGGCCCCUCAGCCUCCCUCCUCCAGCUGUUUUCUGGACACCGGCCAGCCAGAACCGACAUCACCACGCCCAGAGCCCCAGCUGCCCAGGCUGCAGGUUGCUGAAGGCCCAGAGGACCCCCUGAAGACCUCUCAGAGUGUGGAAUCUGUCAUUGGCCACCUGUCUCCCUCUAAUAAGGAAACCAUCAUGGUCACUCUCCACGGGGCCACCAACCUACCUGCCUGCAAGGAUGGCUCCGAGCCAUGGCCCUAUGUGGUAGUGAAAACCACAUCUGAGGAAGCGAAGAACCAGAACUCCAAGGCAGUCACAUCUGUGACCUCAGAGCCCACCAAAGCCCCCAGCUGGGGAGACACAGUCAAAGUGGAGAUCCAAGCAGAGGACGCAGGGCGAGAAGAUGUAGUCCUCAAGGUGGUAGACAACAAAAAGAAAGAGGAGCUGUUGUCUUACCAAAUCCCCAUCAAGUACCUGCGUGUCUUCCACCCCUACCACUUUGAGCUGGUGACGCCCACCCAGUCUGGGAAAGCUGACAAAGACACUGCCAAGACCCAAGUGUACGCAACAGUCGUUCGGAAGAGCAGCUUCAUCCCCCGCUAUGUUGGUUGCAACCACACAGCUCUGGAGGUCUUUCUGCGAGGAGUCAACGAACCCCUGGCCAACAAUCCCAACCCCAUGGUGGUCAUUGCCAGGGUGGUUCCCAACUACAAGGAUUUUAAGGUCAAUCAGGUAAACCAGGACCCGACAUCCCUGGGGCUGCCCAUCACCUCACUCUCUUUCCCUAUCCCAUCCGUGAUGAACUUUGAUGUUCCUCGAGUCAGCCAGAACGGGUGCCCUCAGCUGUCCAAGCCCGGGGGUCCCCCGGAGCUGCCCGUGUGGAAUCAGUCCUUCCUCUUCCAAGGCCGAGAUGGAGCCACCACCUUCUCAGAAGACACAGCCCUUGUGCUGGAGUACUACUCCUCCACCUCAAUGAAAGGCAGUGAGCCAUGGACCCUCAGCAAGCCCCUGGGCGUCUCUGUGUUGCCGCUAAACAGCCGUUUGUACCGCAAGAUGCUGACAGGAAAAGGCCUGAAUGGGCUGCGUGUGGAGCGGCUCCCCAUCACCGACACCUCGCUGAAAACCAUGAGUGGUGAGGCCCCCACGGUGGAUCUCUCCUUCCAGCUGCUUUCCUCCGAGAGGCCUGAAAACUUCUUGACACCAAAGAACAGCAAGACUCUGCCCAUCCUGGACCCCAAGAUCUUAGAUGAAAAGCUGGGUACCAUCCGCGAGUCCUGGUCCAAGGCCACAGUGAGCUCCAUAAUGGACUCCAGCACAUCCACCUCUCAGGAAGCGGAGGAAGAGCCUGAGGUGCUCAGGAUGUCCCGGGAACUGGAGAUGAACAACUACCGGCGGGCCAUGCAGAAGAUGGCAGAGGACAUCCUGUCGCUACGGAAACAGGUCAGCACCCUGGAGGCAGAGAACCGCUUGCUGAGGAGCCACCUGACCCAGGAGGAGGUAGAAGAGGAGCAGGACAAUGCUGACAAGGCCCAGAACCUAGUGUUCAUGAAGCAGAAACUGCUGCUGAGUGAGCUGGACAUGACGAAACUGAGGGACAAGGUGCAGCGUUUGCAGAAUGAGCUGAUUCGAAAGAAUGAUCGAGAGAAGGAGCUGCUCCUCCUGUACCAGGCUCAGCAACCACAGGCUGUGCUGCUGAAGCGGUACCAGGACAAGCUGCAGAAGAUGAAGAUGCUGGAGGAGACCGUGCGGCACCAGGAAAAGGUGAUCGAGAAGAUGGAGCACGUACUGGAGGACAAGCUGCGGGAUAAGAACCAGCCCCCGCAGACCAGGCUGCAGGGAAAGCCCAACGUGGCCUUCCCCAUGCUCUCAGCCUCUGGCCUUCCCCCUGGUCCUACGGGAGAGAACCUACCUGCUGACCUUUACUCAGUGCUGCUGGCGGAAAACUCAAGGUUGCGGGCAGAGCUGGAUAAGAGCCGCCACCACUCGGCCCCCAUUAUUCUGCAACAGCAGGCUCUGCCGGUGGACCCCAGGGAGUUGGGAGCAGGAGGAGGCCUGGCAGAGAGGCUACAGGAGACAGAUGGUCCAGCCCAGUCCACGUGCACAGGGACCCUGCCUGCGCAGGUGGGUGCCCCAGGCCCCAGAAAUGCCCUGGCCCCACUCCACUUCCAAGGCUGCUACAGGCGUUCCUGCUUUAUGCAAACCCCAAGACAGGACACAUGGAAUUACAGAAGAGGGGUGAGCAGGGCCUCAGGAGCUCUUCUCUUCACCCCAGGACUCCCAGGAGGUGAGUUCUGUUUGAAAGCACACCUGAUGCAUGGACAUCCAGGUAAAGUGUGGGGCAUGGGGAGACCCUUGCUUCACAAACAGAUUCUUCACUUUACAAGAAGACUCCCAGUUCAAGAUUCUUUUCUGUGCACUUAUGAGUGUUCCCUAGUACAUUUUACAUUUAAAAAUUGAUGUGCAAAAACUUCAUAUACCCCAAAUCUGUGGGGAGGACAGCUGUGAAGAAAGCACACGCCGUGCCAGGGGUGAACUCCUUCGGGAAGAGGGUUCCGCACUGGGUCUGAAGCUCUGUAUCAAGGAGCUAAGUCUGGAACUCAGACCGGGUUGGUUUCUGCUCAGCAUCUCGUGGCCUCCUGAGCUCACACAGCCGCAGCCCCCAGCUGGGCCCAUGUGUGAGUUUCUGCUCUGCCCACAGGAUCUCCUUGCAAGCACUUCAGACAAGUUUAACCUCCUGGCCAAGCUGGAACGAGCUCAGAGCCGGAUCCUGUCCCUGGAGAGCCAGUUAGAGGACUCAGCUCGACGCUGG
Molecule: non-coding RNA, 3464 nt
Organism: Equus caballus (horse)
Lineage: Eukaryota; Metazoa; Chordata; Mammalia; Perissodactyla; Equidae
Source: RefSeq, a predicted model, not a curated record